AGUGAACCUGAUCCUGACUGUUGGAGUCAUCACCAGAUAGCAGACGUUUCCAGAGCAUUCUGAGAAAAGUAUAAAAGGAAGGCGCCGCAUUCUUCUCUGAUUCUGUCACCCACGUCUUCAGAUGAGCAUCAUCCUAGCUGGAAACAGCCAGAGGCUCACUUACCAUGCCCCGGACAGCCGCUGGGCCCGUCCCCUCUUCAUCUUCCCCAUCUGCCUCCUGGUCUUCGUUGUCAGUCCAGGAGGACACGUCCUCCGCUGAGCUAGUCAGGUCAGCUCUCGAUGCCAUUUUCAACCUCGAGGAAUGUGAAGAACAGCCACUUUAGGGCAACACCUUAGGCCUGGAACAAUCACUUUACACCAGUAAUUGUGAAGACUGAACUGUUUGUCUCUGAGGAAAUGAAGUCACUGGGCAAAAGGUCAGAAACUCUCCGAUUCUUCACACCCCAGGUAUGAAGACAAAAAACAAAGCCUCUGACUGUCCUAUUCUGGUUGGAUAAAGAGGAGGAACAGUUGGAUGCCAGGAGGAGACUGAAGAUAGAUGCUCCUCUUCCUUCCUUCCGACAGCUGGGGUCAAGGUUAAGCAGCAGCAGGCUGGGCAGCUGACAGCCUGAGUGUAAACAGGACACAUGGCAUGGACUGAAAGGUGUUCCCUUCUGAGGUCUGCGUCAGGUGCCCAGGAGCCCAUGGACUGAGAAUUGGUUGCUGAAAGUUGCUCAGCUCUACAGACUCCAGCACAUGCCCUGCAAAAGGCAAAGCCUCUGGGAGGAGCACGCUGUCCUUUUCUGACACCAUGCUGUUAUUCUUUUAUCUUCUGUACCUCUAGGGCAGCUGGGUAUAUGGAAGCAGCAGAAAUUUCACAAUCCACCGGACUUGGCAGAAAACCUGCUUUUGUCUACUGCCGUGGGCCUUGGGGGGAAGUUAAAUAACUGCUGGGAUUUAAAUGGAAACCUUUGAAUAAAGAGAACACAUAUCUUCCCUCAA
This is a non-coding RNA of Cricetulus griseus (Chinese hamster), 981 nucleotides long. The record is from RefSeq and is a predicted model, not a curated record. NCBI's taxonomy places the organism in Eukaryota, Metazoa, Chordata, Mammalia, Rodentia, Cricetidae.